AGGACGAACGCUGGCGGCGUGCUUAACACAUGCAAGUCGAGCGGUAAGGCCCUUCGGGGUACACGAGCGGCGAACGGGUGAGUAACACGUGAGCAAUCUGCCCUUCACAUCGGGAUAACCCCCGGAAACGGGAGCUAAUACCGGAUACGACCACUUCAGGCAUCUGAUGGUGGUGGAAAGUUCUGGCGGUGAAGGAUGAGCUCGCGGCCUAUCAGCUUGUUGGUGGGGUAAUGGCCCACCAAGGCUUCGACGGGUAGCCGGCCUGAGAGGGUGACCGGCCACACUGGGACUGAGACACGGCCCAGACUCCUACGGGAGGCAGCAGUGGGGAAUAUUGGACAAUGGGCGAAAGCCUGAUCCAGCCAACGCCGCGUGAGGGAUGACGGCCUUCGGGUUGUAAACCUCUUUCAGCGCAGACGAAGCGAAAGUGACGGUAUGCGCAGAAGAAGCACCGGCCAACUACGUGCCAGCCGCCGC
RNAcentral lists this ribosomal RNA (477 nucleotides) under uncultured bacterium. Its description in RNAcentral is "bacterial SSU rRNA". It matches the Rfam family "Bacterial small subunit ribosomal RNA", at positions 26 to 518 of the family's 1533-position model. The record is from RNAcentral.